This 446-nucleotide ribosomal RNA is filed under the name uncultured bacterium. RNAcentral's name for it is "partial 16S ribosomal RNA". It matches the Rfam family "Bacterial small subunit ribosomal RNA", at positions 338 to 795 of the family's 1533-position model. The record is from RNAcentral.
CCUACGGGAGGCUGCAGUCGAGAAUCAUUCACAAUGGGGGCAACCCUGAUGGUGCGACGCCGCGUGGGUGAAUGAAGCUCUUCGGAUUGUAAACCCCUGUCAUGUGGGAGCAAAUUAAAAAGAUAGUACCACAAGAGGAAGAGGCGGCUAACUCUGUGACAGCAGCCGCGGUAAUACCGAGGGCGCAAGCGUUGUUCGGAAUCACUGGGCGUAAAGCGUGCGUAGGCUGUUUCUUAAGUCGUGUGUGAAAGGCGCGGGCUCAACCCGCGGACGGCACAUGAUACUGCGAGGCUAGAGUAAUGGAGGGGGAACCGGAAUUCGCGGUGUAGCAGUGAAAUGCGUAGAUAUCGAGAGGAACACUCGUGGCGAAGGCGGGUUCCUGGACAUUAACUGACGCUGAGGCACGAAGGCCAGGGGAGCGAAAGGGAUUAGAUACCCUUGUAGUC